AAAGUAUUCUCUCCGUCCAAAAAUACUUGUCGGUGAAAUGGAUGUAUUUAGACGUAUUUUAGUUCUAAAUACAUCAUUUUUUAUCCAUUUCUCCGACAAGUAUUUCCGGAUGGAGUAUGUC
Non-coding RNA from Triticum aestivum (bread wheat), 121 nucleotides. The record is from Rfam. NCBI's taxonomy places the organism in Eukaryota, Viridiplantae, Streptophyta, Magnoliopsida, Poales, Poaceae.